AUGGGAUAAUGGUUAAAUAUUUUAUAGCUUUAGUAUUUUAUUAAUUUUAUUAAAUUGUAAUUAAAAUAAGAAUAUUUUAAUAAGUUAAGGGGACGAUAAGACCCUAUAAAGCUUUAUAAGUGAAUAUUUAUUAAGCUGGGGAAGUUAAGAUAUUAUAUUUAUUUUUUAAAAAAACUUAAGAUAAAUGAUUUAAUUUGAUUAAUUUAAAUAAUUAAUUAUAGAAAAAGUUACUUUAGGGAUAACAGCAUAAUAUUUCUAGAAAGAUCUUAUUGACAGAAUAGUUUGUGACCUCGAUGUUGAAUUAAAUAUUCUGUUAGAGGUAAAAAAAAAACAAUAGGGUUUGUUCAACCUUUAAAUGUUUACAUGAUUU
RNAcentral lists this ribosomal RNA (370 nucleotides) under Synopiidae sp. BOLD:ADF6081. RNAcentral describes it as "partial 16S ribosomal RNA". The record is from RNAcentral. Lineage: Eukaryota; Metazoa; Arthropoda; Malacostraca; Amphipoda; Synopiidae.